This 253-nucleotide ribosomal RNA is filed under the name uncultured bacterium. Its description in RNAcentral is "partial 16S ribosomal RNA". It matches the Rfam family "Bacterial small subunit ribosomal RNA", at positions 524 to 776 of the family's 1533-position model. The record is from RNAcentral.
UACGGAGGAUGCAAGCGUUAUCCGGAAUGAUUGGGCGUAAAGCGUCCGCAGGUGGCUGUGUAAGUCUGCUGUUAAAUAGUGAGGCUCAACCUCAUAAAGGCAGUGGAAACUACACGGCUAGAGUGCGUUCGGGGCAGAGGGAAUUCCUGGUGUAGCGGUGAAAUGCGUAGAGAUCAGGAAGAACACCGGUGGCGAAAGCGUUCUGCUAGACCUGUACUGACACUGAGGGACGAAAGCUAGGGGAGCGAAUGGG